GAUGAACGCUGGCGGCGUGCCUAAUACAUGCAAGUCGAGCGAACAGACGAUGAGCUUGCUCCUCUGACGUUAGCGGCGGACGGGUGAGUAACACGUGGAUAACCUACUUCUAAGUCUGGGAUAACUUCGGGAAACCGGAUCUAAUACCGGAUAAUAUAUUGAACCGCAUGGUUCAAUAGUGAAAGACGGUUUUGCUGUCACUUAUAGAUGGAUCCGGGUCGGAUUAGCUAGUUGGUAAGGUAACGGCUUACCAAGGCAACGAUGCGUAGCCGACCUGAGAGGGUGAUCGGCCACACUGGAACUGAGACACGGUCCAGACUCCUACGGGAGGCAGCAGUAGGGAAUCUUCGGCAAUGGGCGCAAGCCUGACGGAGCAACGCCGCGUGAGUGAUGAAGGUCUUCGGAUCGUAAAACUCUGUUAUUAGGGAAGAACAAAUGUGUAAGUAACUCUGGACGUCUUGACGGUACCUAAUCAGAAAGCAACGGCUAACUACGUG
This 497-nucleotide ribosomal RNA is filed under the name uncultured bacterium. Its description in RNAcentral is "partial 16S ribosomal RNA". It matches the Rfam family "Bacterial small subunit ribosomal RNA", at positions 28 to 507 of the family's 1533-position model. The record is from RNAcentral.